RNAcentral lists this ribosomal RNA (253 nucleotides) under uncultured bacterium. RNAcentral's name for it is "partial 16S ribosomal RNA". It matches the Rfam family "Bacterial small subunit ribosomal RNA", at positions 524 to 776 of the family's 1533-position model. The record is from RNAcentral.
UACGUAGGGGGCAAGCGUUGUCCGGAAUCAUUGGGCGUAAAGCGCGUGUAGGCGGCCCGGUAAGUCCGCUGUGAAAGUCCAGGGCUCAACCCUGGGAUGCCGGUGGAUACUGUCGGGCUCGAGUCCGGAAGAGGCGAGUGGAAUUCCUGGUGUAGCGGUGAAAUGCGCAGAUAUCAGGAGGAACACCAAUGGCGAAGGCAGCUCGCUGGGACGUGACUGACGCUGAGACGCGGAAGCGUGGGGAGCAAACAGG